GUACACGUAGGAUUUUAAUGAAAAAAAACAGUCCAAAAUAACCAGCCCGAAAAAGGCAGGGAUAAAUAUUCCAAUAAAGGAAGACUAACACAGUCUUAGAAAUAUAUUGAGACGCAACCCUAACGUCCAAACGCUGAAUAUAUAUGUACACAUGGACAGAAGAAAAUUCCCCAACCUACAAUAGAUGACCCCGCAAAACAAGAAACAGACAAACUAAAUACCCUCCCACUAAUUACAAACACGAAACAGGUGCGCACAAACAGACAUAAACUAACAGACACAUGAAACAUGGAUCGGUGGCAGCUAGUAGGCCGGUGACGACGACCGCAGAGCCCCGCUCGACGGGGGAGCAGCGCCACCUUCUGUGGACGUUGUGACAGUAUCUGUCCAAGUACCAAGUACUGUCCACUCUGGGAUUCCUCGCUACUGGGACAUUCCAGAGGGAAAUGAGUGACAGGUAUAUCACAGCCAUCAUUCAGCCGCAUCCUGCCAUAAGUGAUUCGAGGCGAUUCUACACGUAUUGUCCAUGAGAUUGACAUUAGUUCCCCCAUUUACAGCCGACGAACGCUCUCAUUUAAUUUCCCAGGGGGUCAUAGGUGCAGUUGACUGCGCGCAUAUUGCCUUACGCUCACCGUCUGUAGAUGAACGUGUAGGUGUUAAACGGGAAUAAUUUCCAUUCAUUGAAUGUUCAGAUCUGCGAUGCCUGUAUGCAACUACUCAAUGUGGCCAGGGUCUACGAACAAAUCAUACAUUCUACGCCACAGCUGAGUAGGUCUGCGUCUAGAAGCUGGUGGCUUCUCGUGAGUAAUUGGGUUUUUUCUCCUCCAGUGUAUAAUAGCCUAUUAACCGUGUUAGGGUUGAACUGGCUAUUUGUAUGCAUAACUUAUAUAAUAUACCGGGGAAGCUAUGCUACAAUAUUAAGUAUAUAAACUACGAGUAAAUCAACUUUUGAAGACAAGAAGAACUACAACCGGCAACAGGAAGUGCGUCACGACGCUGGGAUCAGCCUGCACGCCGACGACAGGAGGAGCAAGUUUAAACCACGCUCCUCCUCCCUCGGACAGACCAGCAUUGAGCGGGAAAUAUCUCUGUCAGAGAAUAAAAGAGAGAACAAAGGAGGUGUCGUUCUCUUCUCUGUUUUGCCCUGCGAGGUGACCGGGGCUAUCCACUGAAAACGUGGCUUCUCACUCCCCUUUUCCGAUCCCCAAACAGGAAAUGACGCUACAAUUUGGCUCUCGGCAGAACAAAGGUCGGUUGUGGACUGCUGAACUCCUCUACAAGCCACAGAAGAUAAUUUAAGUUUUGUAUUUUUUAUUAAAUGAAGUUUAGUUUUUUUUUUUAAUUGGUCAACUUGCAAAAUAUACCAACAUUUUAUAUUUAGUAUUGUAUUGAAAUUGCACACCCAAAGGUUCUGGCCAAAAUAGCUGAAAAACAGUUUUUAACUUGUCCCUAUGGUUACUGAAACUGUGAGCAUCAGAGGUGAACCGGUUGCAUACACGGCUCGAGCAAGACCUUCAUCAGCAUUUCUCUGUGUCAGGAAUCCCGCUUCCUGAGUCUGUUUCUGCCUGAGCUGUUUUUUGUUGUUGUUUGGAGUGUUGUCUAAGGUUCCUUGAACGCACCCGGUCUGGUUGCCAGGCAACGAAGUUAGGCGGGAGAUCUAGUAAUUACCCGCACCUGCAUCUCAUCAACCUUCUGCACACCUGGUCUUGAUCAUCACCUCUUCUUAAACCCUGAGCUGACAUCCAUGACCCUGCCGGAUCGUUAGCAACGAACGCACUGAGGAGCCUGACGGGCCAGACGGAUUACCAGGACGUGGACCAACUGGCAAGUGUCUUCACUGACAUGUUCAACCUCUCCCUGUCUGAGUCUGUAAUACCAACAUGUUUCAAGCAGACCACUAUAGUCCCUGGGCCCAAGAACACGAAGAUCCACAGAUGAUGCAAUCUCCAUUGCACUCCACACUGCCCUUUCACACCUGGACUAGAGGAACACCUAUGUGAGAAAGCUAUUCAUUGACUACAGCUCAGCGUUCAACACCAUAGUACCCUCAAAGCUCAUCACUAAGCUAAGGACCCUGGGACUAAACACCUCCCUCUGCAACUGGAUCCUGGACUUCCUGACGGGCCGCCCCCAGGUGGUGAGGGUAGGUAACAACACAUCCGCCAUGCUGAUCUUCAAC
Molecule: long non-coding RNA, 2179 nt
Filed under: Salmo salar (Atlantic salmon)
Lineage: Eukaryota; Metazoa; Chordata; Actinopteri; Salmoniformes; Salmonidae
Description: lncRNA (ENSSSAG00000113178.1)
Source: RNAcentral